GAAUUUUGGACAAUGGCCGAAAGGCUGAUCCAGCAACGCCGCGUGGGGGAUGAAGGCCUUCGGGUUGUAAACCCCUGUUGACCGGGAAGAACGGCCUCGUCAGGAAAUGGGCGGGGAUUGACGGUACCGGUAGAGGCAGCCCCGGCUAACUACGUGCCAGCAGCCGCGGUAAUACGUAGGGGGCGAGCGUUGUCCGGAAUUAUUGGGCGUAAAGGGCGUGUAGGCGGUCUGGUAAGUCGGGGGUGAAACCCCGGGGCUCAACCCCGGGACUGCCUCCGAUACUGCUGGACUUGAGUGCUCUAGAGGGUAGUGGAAUUGCCGGUGUAGCAGUGAAAUGCGUAGAGAUCGGCAGGAACACCAGUGGCGAAGGCGACUGCCUGGGGGGUAACUGACGCUGAGGCGCGAAAGCUAGGGGAGCAAAC
This 422-nucleotide ribosomal RNA is filed under the name uncultured bacterium. RNAcentral's name for it is "bacterial SSU rRNA". It matches the Rfam family "Bacterial small subunit ribosomal RNA", at positions 359 to 773 of the family's 1533-position model. The record is from RNAcentral.